This 6316-nucleotide long non-coding RNA is filed under the name Brassica napus (rape). Its description in RNAcentral is "long non-coding RNA (BNAP_LNC006656)". The stretch from base 1572 to 1678 matches the Rfam family "Plant small nucleolar RNA R71". The record is from RNAcentral. Lineage: Eukaryota; Viridiplantae; Streptophyta; Magnoliopsida; Brassicales; Brassicaceae.
CGUGAGACUUCAUGAUCUGCCUAUACCUUCUGUAGGAAGGGAAGAGUCCAUGUACGAUGUGGAUACUGUCUAUAGGAUACCCACACGCUUACUUGAGAGGGUUGAUGAAAAAGAUGAAGACAAUGGUUAUGAUACAGACUUCACUGGUCAUCACCAUGGUUCGUUGCUGAAAGUGGGAAGGAUCAGGAAUGCGUACUUGGCUGAGAUUGCACGGGAUCCAUACCUAAGUCUACAGAAGUUCACAGCCAUUAUAGAGAGGUUACCUAAUUACGCACGUAUGUAAUAACUUUAAAAUAUAACUAUACACAUGUUUAUUAUUUCAAUCCAAGUUUUAUAUGUGUUUAUUUGAAAUGAUGGCUUGAGGUUAUUUUUUAUGAGUGUUUGAUCUGCGUGGACUUUUGCAGAUAAGCAUUCGAGCAAUAGAUGGCUCCUAAACUUUUACAUAGCUGAUUUUGGCAAACACGUGUUUUUUUUUUUUUUUUUUUUUUUUUAGUGAAAGUGACUGAUUGUCAUUCACUCGUUGGUUUUGAGGUCUGAUCGAGUAAAACUGGCAGUUGCUCGAUCAUUAGAUACGUUUCUCAAGAGUAGUAUCUUCGGAGAUGCAUGAAGUUCCAUGCUCUGGGAACAGGUUCGCCAGCCGAUGUCUCGAAGUUUCCAGAGUGUCGACCGAUAUUCACCGUGGUUUGUCGAUCGACGUUCGUUCUUUCUUGUCGAUCAAUUUUGACAUCUUCUCCAAAUUCUCCUUCUUCCUCCUCAAGGUCGAUGGCCUCUUUCUCAGUUCUCGAGGUAUUUCUGACUCGGUGUUGGGAUCAUCGAGGAUUAUAGGGCGUGACCUAUUUUCAUCGGCUUCCUCAACUACAACAUGUUUCUCUGUGUUGUUGAUUUCUAUUGUGCUUGGAAUGAGGCAUUUUCCGCUUCUCAAUAACACGACAUUAACUUGACAUUUCAGGUUCGCGUCAGUGCGCCCAGGGAGACGUCAUGUCUCUCUUUUGAUGGCGGUUUCAUUUUCCGCGACCCGACUGUCCAGUCUCUUAAUGUGUUCACUCAAAGUGUCAAACUUCCGCAUCAGCUCACUAAAGAUUAAGUCUUAUCUUUCCGUUCAGGUCAGUGGCCAAUUUGCGAUUUCCCGUGAAAGCUUGGUUUAGCCUAAAUUUCGCUCUGCCUCGGCGUGAUCAAACAGUAGCAUCAUAAUUUUGGGUAAAGCUAUCGGGGUUAGGAUACUUAUUUUCCAAGGUUUGCCUAUCUACGAAAUCUAUUUGCUGUUCUAGCUCAGAUAGGGUAUCAUCAUCAAUUUGGUAAAUUCCAAAUUGGUUCUGUCUUUCAAAAGCAGGAUGGGGUGAGUCUAGAUGUUCUUUAAUUUCGAGUAAAGGUGACUCAUCAACUGAGUCAACUUUCCUUCCUAACUCUACGUCCAUCAUUUCGUAGGAUCUUCCUGUAGCUAUAUUCUUGGUCAAACGCUUCGCUUCUUCAGGGUUUUUGGUACUGAAGUUCCCUUCACUGGCUAUGUCGAGCGUAAUUUGGUAAUGAAGCUUAAUACCUCCAUAAAGGUAUUAAUGAGUUGUGGCUCUGAAUAGCCAUGGUGGGGGCAUUCAAGUUGGUAGCUCUUGAAUCUCUCCCAUGCGUUUCUGAACGAUUCCUGUGGACCUUGACAGAAUGUGGAGAUUUUCUUCCUUACAUCCUAGGAGUGCGCCUCAUCGAAGAAUUGAUUGAUAAAGGCACUCCUUAUCUCCUUUCAACAGGUCAAAGAUCUUGUUGGUAUUUGGUCUAGCCAUUUUCUGGCGUCGCCUUCUAAGGAAAAUGGAAAGAGUUUACAUCGAUUGUAUUCAUCAUCCAUCAACUCUUCUAGAUACUUGGUGUGAUCGUGCAGUCGCUAUGAGAUGGUCCCAUGGAAAGGGUUUUGACGUACCAUAAUUAAGUAUUCGGGACUGAUCCCGGAUUUCUUGGUAUCAUCUUUUGGUAGUCUAAUUGCGGACCUAUUGGAAUAGGUUCUUCCAGGGUUUAAGUUGUCUUGCAAAGGCAAUUUCCACUCAUUAUCUCUUUCUGAGAGAUUUAAUUUGAAGAGGGAUUUCAGUCCCCUGUUCAUUCAUGAUUUGGUUGUUUGCGUUGCUUAGUUGACUUUCAGGUUCUCCUAGGACUACUCCCUCAUUAGCAUCAUUGGUAAGAGAAAACUUACCUGCUUCCGGCGGGGUGUUGUCGAUCGAUGUUUGAUGUUCGACUUCGACCGAUAUUGCUGCCGACUUGUCGCUCGAUAUUGCUCUCACUUUGUCGAUCGAUGUCCGGCCGAAAUCCAUGUUUUCCAUCUUGAAGCUCCUGUGUCAGCAAGAAAAGAGAGAAAUUUUUUAGCAAAUUUAGCAACAAAAUCUAUAUUAAAUUCUAAACGUAAUCUAAUGGUAAUAAGAAAGAGUCCCCGGCAACGGCGCCAAAUUUGAUAUCACUCAAAUUAUCCUAAGAACUCAAGUAAGAGGUUCAGAUGUAGUACUUAGGGAUCGAAUCCACAUAGACUCUAGUAUUACACAAUAGAUUAUGGUCUUUAAAUAAAUCUAGAUUGAAUGGUUUAUAAGUUUUAAAAGCAGUAAAUGGAUUGGUGAGCAAAUUUAUUGCUCGAUUGAUUGUUUUGAGGUUGUUAACAGUUGGUUGAAGUAGCUAGAUUCAGGUAUAUUCUCAGGUAUGAUAAGUAAAACUUAACUUGGGAAAUUAGGGGUUUAUUAAUUGUUCUUGAAUUCAAAUUAAGAUAUAAUCUAUUUGAUCAUCUAAUCUGGUUCUCGGAUCUCAACUCUCGUAUGUUAAUCACGAGAAAGUGUCGAUCGAUAAUUGUUUGUGAAUAUCGAUCGAUACAUCUUUCAAAAUAUCGAUCGACAGGGCUAUCGCUGCGUCGACGAUAUUUCUUCCAGAAAGCUUUACGGACAAAUUUCAUUUAUAUUCUCUAACUUAAUAGACCAACUCUCGUUUGUAUCUAGUCAGUUAGAUCAUUCUAGUUAUUUUCAGGCACUGAGUCAAGCAACGGCUUGAUCCCAAUUAAUCCUAAGAUCUAAGUUUAAAGGAUGAUCAAUCCUAAACUUAGCUUUAAGCACAACUAGAUGAAGGAACUAUAUUUCUAAACACCCUAGCAAUUGUUAUGUCAGUAUUACAUUUAUCAACCUAUUUGAGAAACCUAAAUCUAACAGUAAGGACUACUCAGACAUAUUCAUGAAACACAUAGUUAUGAUGGUCUGAAUAAUACUUAGAUAAAAUAAAUAGUAAAAGUAACAUAAAUAAUGAAAACAAGGGAGUUCAAGAUCUUCUCUGUUUUGCAGUAGAUGAUCUAUCUCUCCAAUCCUAAGCCCUCCUCUUUCAAUGGUGGCUUCUUGCCUCCUCCAAAUAAGGUCUAAAAAUGUCUCUAGGCAAGUCUGCCUCUAAAAUGAUACAAAACCCUAAUAAAUAGCCUAAUAAGCGGUCAGGGACUAAUGAUGUAAUUAUUAAGAUUUUUGUGAAACUUGAAAUCUUCUAAUUUGUCAUUAAUUCUUGGAUAGCUUCAUAAUCGAUCGAUGUGAGGAACCCAACAUUGAUCGAUAUUUGGUGGUAACUGUCUGUCGAUACUGAAUUGCGACCGUCGACCAUCUCUUGCUUCCAAGCAAAGCUCAAAAAAUCUUCAAAAAGCUCCAAAUACAUCAUUUUCUUCCAGAUAGUACAUGAACCUGUAAUUGCUCUAAAUAGACUCUAUAUAGUAAUAAUAUAUCUUAAAACAUUCAUAAACCAUGGUUAAAAAUGGGUAAAAUUCAUGGUCUAUCAGUAUCAUUGCUUCUCUGAUGCAUUACUCUCUAGAAUCACUAAAGGGUUUUGUUGAUCAAAUUGUCAGGAGCAAAGGGAGAUCGUUGAAGCCAUUGUAACUCUUUUGCUGAGUGACGAGAGAGGAUCAAUCAUCCCUCUCCGUUUCCUCCUUGGAAUGUUAAAGAUCAGAAUUACAAUCGAUGUAGAGAUCUCUUACAUGCAUGAGUUAUAACGUAGAACUAGACUUUGACCCGCGCGUCUGCGCGGGUAUAUUUUUCAAAAGUAUGUUUCUAUUUGUUUUUCAUGUCAAUAAUAUAAGGGUUAUGCAAAAUACCCGAAUCUGAAGAACCGAACCGAUCUGGAUCCGAAAAUGUAGUACCAAACCCAAACCGAAAUUGAGUAAAUAUCUGACUUAUUCAAAAUUUUGGUUUUUAGAGAACCAAAACUGAAUCCGAUCCGAACCGAAGUAUUUCGGGUACCCGAAUGUAUACAAAAUAGAUUUAUAUACUUAUAUGAAUUUAUUAUUUUUAUAUUUAAUAUAUAUAAAACAUCUAGAAUAUAUAUGAUACUUUUAAGUUGGUUUAAAUACUUAAAAAUAUAUACAAAUAAUCAAUAGUAAAUAUAUAAAAUAGUAAAAGUAUACUUAAAACACCAAAAAUACUUAAAAUAAUUAUUGAUUCUCUAUCCAAAUAUUUGAACUAAAGUAAUUUAUAUGUUACCUUUAGGUAUUCUGAAAUUACGCAAAUUAAUUUAUAUGUUACCUUUCGGUCACUCAAACAGACCUGAACCGAACCCGAUUAUGUACCAGAUAGAUAAUUUCUCACAAUAAAAUGGACUUCCAAAUUUUCUUAAAAGUAUAAGCCCAUUACUUUUUUUUUCUUAAUAUACUGCUAUCCAUGUUUCCAAACAAACCUAUUUUUUAAAACUACAAUUUAUGUUUCCAAUCAAACCUCAUUUUUAAAACUGCAAUCCAUAUUUCCAUACAAACUUUUUUUUAAACUACAAUCUAUCUUUCCAAACAAACUAUACAUGUUUCCAAACAAACCUAAUUUGUACUUGAGUUUUAAUAAGAUAGAUAGGUCAGCAGUUAGAGAGCGUGAGACUUCAUGAUCUGCCUAUACCUUCUGUAGGAAGGGAAGAGUCCAUGUACGAUGUGGAUACUGUCUAUAGGAUACCCACACGCUUACUUGAGAGGGUUGAUGAAAAAGAUGAAGACAAUGGUUAUGAUACAGACUUCACUGGUCAUCACCAUGGUUCGUUGCUGAAAGUGGGAAGGAUCAGGAAUGCGUACUUGGCUGAGAUUGCACGGGAUCCAUACCUAAGUCUACAGAAGUUCACAGCCAUUAUAGAGAGGUUACCUAAUUACGCACGUAUGUAAUAACUUUAAAAUAUAACUAUACACAUGUUUAUUAUUUCAAUCCAAGUUUUAUAUGUGUUUAUUUGAAAUGAUGGCUUGAGGUUAUUUUUUAUGAGUGUUUGAUCUGCGUGGACUUUUGCAGAUAAGCAUUCGAGCAAUAGAUGGCUCCUAAACUUUUACAUAGCUGAAUGCCGUCGUACGGUUUAAGACUCGAAGAUUGCCGCCUUCAAGGCCCUCACCGGGACCGUAUACACCCGUUGAACCGAGAGCCCAUAUAGAGCAAGCGGACCGAACAGCACACCACCUCUGGAGCAGCCUCAACCGAGUUAGAGAGAAGACCGAGAGCUUAACUGAAAACCUACCUCCAUCGGAACCUACUUCGAAGCCCUGCCUUCAGCUAGUAGCACGCUGGAAUUAGCACAAGGAGAGAAGCUUGGCGACGGUGGACGCCACAACGACGGGACCUCUAACUUUGAGGCGAGCAAACCACCAGUAACGAGACGAUGGCCAAAGCAACACCACGCGCUGCCACCGGAGCAACCUCAAAGCAGGAGAGAGACUCACCCACUCAAGGACUCCACGCACUUCCCCCGAAGACCACCGGAGGAGACAAAGACAGAGAGAAUCACCAGAGUUGCAAGCAACCCAGAUCUGAGACCAAGAGGCCUCCCCGACGAACCACGCGCCGCCAAACCGAAAAGCUUAACGAGAUCUAAAAAAAAAUCUCCUAGACAAAGUCGCCGGAGCAAAACUGGAAGUAGCCACAGCAAGGAGCAAACGCCGUCCUCUAGCGUCACUACCCUCACCGGGAACAACACAGAUCUACUCCAUAAACCCGGAUCUGAACCAGGAGAGAAUCUCAGAGCUUCACCUCCUCCGACACAGAGAAAAGACCACGGAGAUGACGAUGAGAAGCGGAGGAAACAGGGGGGGCUCCAGCGACCGCAAAAGGACACGGCAGCCACCGGAGCGGGGAGUAAACGCGGCGGAGGAAAGUUGAGUAGAGAGAGGGGAGUAAACACAGAGGGGAGUAAAGGGUUUUUUCUCUAUGUCGGCAAACACGUGUUCGUUCAAGUUUGCAUAUAAACUUUAGUUUUAUAAUUUUGUAUAAACCCAUGUAAGCUAUAUGGACGUUCAUCUCAAAGCUUUGUGGACCACUUAUUAAAAAUUAAAAGUAUAUGAGUUCACUAUAAUAACCCAUGUAAGAAAGCU